Long non-coding RNA from Aphis gossypii (cotton aphid), 912 nucleotides. RefSeq lists it as uncharacterized. NCBI's taxonomy places the organism in Eukaryota, Metazoa, Arthropoda, Insecta, Hemiptera, Aphididae. The record is from RefSeq and is a predicted model, not a curated record. The transcript has 2 exons.
UCAUUUAGAAAUUUACAUUUUAAUUCGUAUUGUGUCGACUUGAGAUUUAUCAAGUGACGUUUAAAGAUUAUUAAUUCCAAUUUCGUAAUAUUAAAAUUUAAAAUCUUAUACGUUUUAAAUGUUCAAACCAAAUUUAUUAGUUCUGGAACUAUAGAUUCGUCUGAUGGAUCUCAAGUAGACGUAAUAAUAAAUUCAAAUCCGGCUCGAAUCGGUUUCCUGAUAGCCGUCACAAGUGGUAACGAACGCGCGCGGUACCUAUUGUUGUCGGUAUCUUGGUAUAUUGGAAACGAUUUUCGACUGGACGCGUCGUAGCGUCGUUUCCAUUAAUUUACAGAAUAAACACUACAAACUGCUCGUCAUUCGGUACGUCGUUCGAGUUCGUUUAGUGUUUUUUCAGCCUUUUUUCUGUUUAAUAUCCGCGUUCGCUCAGAUAUUACUGUUUCGUUGUUGAAUAUCGCUCGCGUGCUACAAGCGUCGUUUACUCGUUCGUCAUUUUAUUAACCGCGAUUCAGCAAUCUGUAAGUUCGCGUAGUUCGAUACUAUAGUCAUUGACUGAGUCCAACAGAAUAGUUUUGCCUGGUGCACGUCGUCGUCGUCGACUUGCUAUAUUGUAUAAUUUUGAAUAUAAUAGUUAAAAAAAAAUUAGAUACAAUGGGUUACAACUUACGCUUCCCUUGGUCACUAUGGUACCAUAGUAUUUAUGAUGAAGAAUUGAAUGGAAAUUAUGUUCAAUUAUCUACCAUCGGUACACAAUCAAGUAAUGUGUUAUUUCCGGUAAAGGCUGCCAUGAAGGACGCAUCUGAGAUGAGCUACUUUGACUUCAGAGGUGCUGACCUUGCAGAAACUUUUAAAAAAUUUCAAUUUUUACUUUUUGGUAAAGUGUACAAUAUAAAAUAUUUUGAUGCAUUUAAA